AAAAGUCUUAAGUUAAAUAAACUAAACUCAUAACCUUCAAAGUUAAAAUUAAAUUUUUAGACUUU
This 65-nucleotide transfer RNA is filed under the name Trioza urticae. RNAcentral's name for it is "tRNA-Trp". The record is from RNAcentral. Lineage: Eukaryota; Metazoa; Arthropoda; Insecta; Hemiptera; Triozidae.